RNAcentral lists this ribosomal RNA (466 nucleotides) under uncultured archaeon. RNAcentral's name for it is "bacterial SSU rRNA". It matches the Rfam family "Archaeal small subunit ribosomal RNA", at positions 537 to 997 of the family's 1478-position model. The record is from RNAcentral.
GUCUCGUGGUGAAAUCCUGCAGCUUAACUGUGGGAAUGCUGGAGAUACUAUUAGACUGAGACCGGGAGAGGUUAGAGGUACUCCCAGGGUAGAGGUGAAAUUCUGUAAUCCUGGGAGGACCGCCUGUUAGCGAAGGCGUCUAACUGGAACGGUUCUGACGGUGAGGGACGAAAGUUAGGGGCGCGAACCGGAUUAGAUACCCGGGUAGUCCUAACUGUAAACGAUGCGGACUUGGUGUUGGGGUGGCUUUGAGCUGCUUCAGUGCCGAAGGGAAGCUGUUAAGUCCGCCGCCUGGGAAGUACGGUCGCAAGACUGAAACUUAAAGGAAUUGGCGGGGGAGUACCACAACGCGUGGAGCCUGCGGGUUUUAAAUUGGAUUCAACGCCGGACAUCUCACCAGAGGCGACAGCUGUAUGAUAGCCAGGUUGAUGACUUUGCUUGACUAGCUGAGAGGAGUGGUGCAUGG